Molecule: long non-coding RNA, 467 nt
Organism: Anopheles coustani
Lineage: Eukaryota; Metazoa; Arthropoda; Insecta; Diptera; Culicidae
Exons: 3
Source: RefSeq, a predicted model, not a curated record
GGCUACGUUUCCAUUUGUGAUAUCCAGCACUUGCACAAAAGACAUCGGAAAUAACCAAGAGAAAAUCUUCCGGAAUAGACGUAUUGCAUCAACUGUUACAAAGGAUCAUCUAUCAGAUUUCCUGCUGCCUCCAGUGUCACCAAACUACGAUGAGGUUAUAAAAACCUUAUAAGUUGUGUUAGUUAGUGGAUGUGCGAAUGUGUUUAUUGAAUACACACUUCAUUAUUAAAAUGUGCGAAAGAAAACAGGAGAUCACGCAUGGAGCAUUGAUAUCGCUAGACUAAUCAUCGGCAGAAGUCAGUGGUACGAACAUUUAAACAUGAUGUUUGCGAGGACAGGAAAUAUGCUAGUGAAGACCAACAAUGAUGUGAAGUAGAAAACUUAACGCUUUCUAUUGAAAUUAGUUUUUUUUCCAAGCACAUUUUAUAUAUCUGUGUUUGGGUUCAGUUUCGAUGGUAAUCGAAGCU